UCAAUAAGCGGAGGAAAAGAAACUAACAAGGAUUCCCCUAGUAACGGCGAGUGAAGAGGGAAAAGCCCAGCACCGAAGCCUGCGGCAGUUUUGCUGUUAGGCAAUGUGGUGUUUAGGUCGGCUCGCGGGACUGCUGCUCCAUUCUAAGUCCAGCUUUGAGUAUGGCUUCUGGACUUGGCCCACAGAGGGUGAAAGGCCCGUUCGAAUGGAGGAUAAGAGAAGUGAGUAGUCCACUAUGCCGGCCUUCGAGUCGGGUUGUUUGAGAAUGCAGCCCAAAGAGGGUGGUAGACUCCAUCCAAGGCUAAAUACUAGCACGAGUCCGAUAGCGAACAAGUACCGUGAGGGAAAGUUGAAAAGUACUUUGAAGAGAGAGUAAACAGUACGUGAAACCGCAUAGAGGUAAACGGGUGGCGUCAAGCUGCACGCUUAGAGGAUUCAGUCGGUCAGGAUGUUGUGUAUGCGCCUGGCGCAUCUAUCAGUCGGAGUGAGAUAAAGUAGUCCGUUGGGUAACAGCGGGCCCGGCCGAAAGGCUGGGAUUUGUAUUCCGUGUUAUGUGCGGAGCUUGCUACUUGUCUAUGGACUGCCUGGCCGAUGCAUUUUCUCUGUGGCGAACACCACGACCGGUGGUACUGCCAGUCUGCUGUGGUAAAGUCGGGUUCAGUCGGCCUUGUGUUGGUUGAGCUUGAUCAUAGGCAAGCGGUGUGCGGGUGCGUAUGUACUUGUACACCGCUUUGUCAACGGGUCUGUUUGCUGACGAUUGUAGUAGUUGGCGAAUGGCCUGGUGGACCAUGGUGGUAAGAAUAACUGUGCAGGGCACCGGUGAUUUCGGUCUCUAAUUUGGCUCGCUCACACACUACAAGUGGGUGUGGGUCGUCGUUGCAGUCUGCCUGUGAUUGGGUUUGAUUGUCGUGUUGCCUGCGCAAAGUAGGUCCGGCAGUAGCCUGAUUUUGGAUGGUAUUGCUAGCGGCGUCUCUUCUGCGGGCUGAUGAGGGCCU
Molecule: ribosomal RNA, 995 nt
Filed under: Neobothriocephalus aspinosus
Lineage: Eukaryota; Metazoa; Platyhelminthes; Cestoda; Bothriocephalidea; Echinophallidae
Description: eukaryotic LSU rRNA
Rfam family: Eukaryotic large subunit ribosomal RNA
Source: RNAcentral